AUUGAACGCUGGCGGCAGGCUUAACACAUGCAAGUCGAGCGGGGUGAUGGUGCUUGCACUAUCACUUAGCGGCGGACGGGUGAGUAAUGCUAGGAAUCUGCCUAUUAGUGGGGGACAACAUCUCGAAAGGGAUGCUAAUACCGCAUACGUCCUACGGGAGAAAGCAGGGGAUCACUUGUGACCUUGCGCUAAUAGAUGAGCCUAAGUCGGAUUGGCUAGUUGGUGGGGUAAAGGCCUACCAAGGCGACGAUCUGUAGCGGGUCUGAGAGGAUGAUCCGCCACACUGGGACUGAGACACGGCCCAGAUUCCUACGGGAGGCAGCAGUGGGGAAUAUUGGACAAUGGGGGGAACCCUGAUCCAGCCAUGCCGCGUGUGUGAAGAAGGCCUUAUGGUUGUAAAGCACUUUAAGCGAGGAGGAGGCUCUUUUGGUUAAUACCCAAGAUGAGUGGACGUUACUCGCAGAAUAAGCACCGGCUAACUCUGUGCCAGCCGCCGCGGUAA
This 502-nucleotide ribosomal RNA is filed under the name uncultured bacterium. Its description in RNAcentral is "partial 16S ribosomal RNA". It matches the Rfam family "Bacterial small subunit ribosomal RNA", at positions 30 to 523 of the family's 1533-position model. The record is from RNAcentral.